ACCUGACAUUUUCUUCAGAUACCUUAGAAGGGGAAACAAAAUGUAAAACAUCCCUAUCUUGUUGUAUGUCAUUUUUUUAAAGUGACAGCUGAUUACGUUUUAGGGAUGUUUUCUCAUUUUCUGAAUUAAAUCAGUUUGGCAUUCUGUAGCAGAUAGUACUCAUUAACCUUUUAAGGAUUGCCAAACUGCUUUGAAGCAUUUGUGGAAAAAUGAAGAAAGAAAAAAAAAAAAGAAAAGAAAAAAGUUAAACAUCACAGACAUAACCUGGUGCUUUUUGAAGCUACAGUCAGCAAGGACCUGGUCUUCUCCUUGUAGUAACUUAAUAGGUGUGACGCUUGUUUGUGUUCUGUUUAAGUAGGCUUGAAGAGGGUACUGUCUAUGAACAAAACUUGUGACAUACAUGUAUGUAUGAAUUAUAUUUAUUACCUGAACAGACUUUGAUGUUUACAUUGAUUCAAAUUUUUGUAAUUAAUGACUUCAUAUUUAUUCUUCCAGAUGACGGGAAUAGAAAAUGAAAGUUUUCUUUCUAAGCCUCAGUGAACAUGCACAGCAGAAGCCAGGAAGAAAAGAACGGCUUGAUUUUAAAUCACCACUGUGACAAAUUUGGGGAUCUGAAGCACUGGCAAAAUUUCACACCGCUUGUCUCCAGCCGCUGCCGUGGGAUGUGACCAGGGCACGGCGCUUCCUUGCAGAGCUCGGGUUCUUGCUCAUUUUGAAAACAUUUUCCUCUUUUCUAUGUUCCUG
Molecule: long non-coding RNA, 744 nt
Filed under: Coturnix japonica (Japanese quail)
Lineage: Eukaryota; Metazoa; Chordata; Aves; Galliformes; Phasianidae
Description: lncRNA (ENSCJPG00005017738.1)
Source: RNAcentral